RNA transcript from Helianthus annuus (common sunflower), 918 nucleotides. RefSeq lists it as uncharacterized. The transcript has 6 exons. Lineage: Eukaryota; Viridiplantae; Streptophyta; Magnoliopsida; Asterales; Asteraceae. The record is from RefSeq and is a predicted model, not a curated record.
AUUUGCAGAUGGAUGAACCGAGAAGAGAGAGAGAGAGAGAGAGAGAGAGACGGGAAGGAGAGUCGAGAGAGAAUGUAGAGGUGGAAAAUGGAACUAGAGUUCCGGCGACGACAAGAUACAACGAGGUUGAACGGUGGCUCUUCGCUUUUAGGGUUUUGCGUUUGGUUGAUUUGGAUAUGCUAGGCCUAUUCUUCAAGCAGGAAAUGGAGAUUUCUUUGAUUGGGCUCCAGAAUGCUGGCAAAAAUUCUCUUACGGGUGGAUAUAGCGAGGACAUGAUCCCAACUGUGGGAUUCAAUAUGCGCAAGGUAACUAAAUGAAAUGUGACAAUAAAGCUGUGGGAUCUUGGAGGUCAACCCCGGUUUCGCAGUAUGUGGGAGAGGUAUUGCCGUGAAGUUUCUGCUAUCGUAUCAUGAUAACCUGAGCAUUUCAAAGGGUGAACUCCAUGAUCUUUUAAGCAAACCAGCAUUGAGUGGUAUUCCUUUGCUGGUUUUGGGCAACAAAAUUGAUAAGGCUGGUGCCCUUUCUAAGCAAGCUUUGACAGAUCAAAUGGAUUUGAAGUCUAUAACAGAUAGAGAAGUGUGUUGCUUUAUGAUAUCUUGCAAGAAUUCAACAAACAUCGACUCAGUCAUCGAUUGGCUUGUGAAGCACUCAAAAUCAAAAAGUUGAAGACUUUAUCAAAGCAAAUUAGAAAGAAAAUGGACCGCCAUUUUCGUGUGCUUGGUUUGUGUCGAGUUUGCCGGACUUGAUAUAGAAUAGAGAGAUGUUAUGAGUGAAUUUGAGUAUUGGUGUGUCCAAUGGUAUACCUUAUUAUUAUUUGCUGUCAUUCUUUCUUUCCUGAUCCUGGUUGUUAUGUUGUAUAUCUAUUUCUGCUACUUUAUGAUGUUCAAUGAGUUCUGUUCUAUUAAUAUGUUUUCAUGA